GAAAUGCAAGGGUGUUCUUUUUAGGAGCCCGACCCAAAUCAUUUUCACACUGUGCACUAUACUAUUUUACACCCAUUUUAAACCCAUUAUAAUAUAAGAAUGUCAACAGUCUCUUAAUUGAGCAAAAACAAAACAAAACUUUCGACAACGGAUCUCUUGGCUCC
Molecule: unclassified non-coding RNA, 164 nt
Filed under: rhizosphere metagenome
Description: partial ribosomal RNA internal transcribed spacer region
Source: RNAcentral